GGCGUAUCCCGGCAGCCACCGCGGCGACUGGGCGGCCGGCGCCAAGCGCCUGGAGCUGUACAUCCUCCGCUCCCGCCCACCCUGCCAGCCCGCCUCUGCAGUCGUGCCUCUGACUGUGUGCACCUGCCAAGCAGGUAGGAAAAAUUUCUGACAGCCUACCCAUCAGACUUACUACAAAAUGAUAAAUAUAAUGUCUUGUUAGACAAGAAGAAAAUUGUCAUUUGAUGUUUGAUGCCUUCAGCCCUUCUAGACAAGAAAUGGAUUAAAAAUGCAAAAAUAAAAGAGAAACAAUAAUUGCACCCAUUUGAGCUGCGGGAAGCUGUACUGGCCUCGGGAACCAAGUAUUCAAAGGAAGAAAGCAGUUGUGAGAAAUCCGCAGAGUGGAGUGGAAAGAACUCACAGAGCAUCUGUCCUAGUACUUACUGUCUCACUGUUACUCCAUGACCUUAGGAAAAUCAUUUCCUUCUCUAGCCUUCAUUUUCUUGAUUUUUAAAUUGCAAUUUAGCAAUUCCACAAACAUUGUGAGGUAUUUUGCCCUGUCAAUUCAGUUACAUAUUCUCUAAGUACCAAAGGCCGAGUUUUCACAAUAUUGGACUGUAAAAGUCUAUCCUUUCUGCAAACCUUUCUCCUAAUCCUUCUCUUCUCAAGCAGUUCCACCUUAAUCUAGGAAUUCAGCAACCUUAAAUUUUCUCUUCCAUUUCUUAUGAAAACCUAUUGGAAAUUAGUAGAGGUGAAUCAUAAACAGCCUAGUGUGUUUCUCCCAAUAAUGUUUGUACUACAUUUUUAUAUGUAAUUGUUUAACAGAAAGUUUUUCAUCCUAUUGAAGGAAUUUCAUAUGUCAAUAAGUAGGUAGAGAAAGGUAUAUUCAGCCCUGGCUGGCGUAACUCCGUGGAUUUAGCGCGGGCUGCGAACCAAAGUGUCGCAGGUUCGAUUCCCAGACAGGGUACAUCCCUGGGUUGCAGGCCAUAACCCCCAGCAACAGUACAUUGAUGUUUCUCUCUCUCUAUCUCCCUCCCUUCCCUCUCUAAAAAUAAACAAAAUAUUUUAAAAAAGGUAUAUUCAGAGGCAAGGCAAAAGGACCUUCUUCAUACACCUAAAUUUAUACCAGAUAUAAGAAGCCUUUGUCCAAGUCUUUCAAAUUCUAGAACAAUGUGGAUUAUGUCUCUAAUAUGGGUCAUUCUUCAAACUUCGCUAAUAGGAACUUCUUUCCUUCCCCCUCACUUGGAGCUACAUUGGAGCAUAUUUUUAAGUUUUUAACAACUUACAGAAAUACCACCCAGUUUCCACAAGCCCUGAAAGAAAUGUAAUAUCAAAGAGCCAUUUCAAUAUGUACAGAGGAGAUCGUUUGCUUAUCUUCUGUUUAUGUAGUGAAAAUUUAUGGAAGGUGUCCUGAUUAGGGAUCACACCCACAACCUUAGCAUAUCAGGACAAUGCUUUAACAAACUGAGUGACCUGGCCGGACUAGAUUAAAAUCUUACUUAAAACCCAUGUUAUAUAAUCGCCUUACUUUAAAAUGGAGAAAAUGAAGACACAAACUUGUCAAAUGUCAACUAGUUAUUACUAGAACACCUGGCCCAGAGCUUACUUCA
Phyllostomus hastatus (greater spear-nosed bat) is the source of this 1589-nucleotide long non-coding RNA. RefSeq lists it as uncharacterized. The transcript has 3 exons. Lineage: Eukaryota; Metazoa; Chordata; Mammalia; Chiroptera; Phyllostomidae. The record is from RefSeq and is a predicted model, not a curated record.